Molecule: transfer RNA, 65 nt
Filed under: Agulla arizonica
Lineage: Eukaryota; Metazoa; Arthropoda; Insecta; Raphidioptera; Raphidiidae
Also listed under: 2 other names
Description: tRNA-Ala
Source: RNAcentral
AGGAGUAUAGUUAAAUAACUAACAUUUAGAUUGCACCUAAAAAAUAUUGUAAUAAAUUACUCUUU